GAAUAUUUCAUAUAGCAAUAGCACGAUAUAUAGCAGAGCGUGAGAAGAAGGAAUUGCUGCUCAAGUUGCUAGAAUGGAUGACGGGUCAAGGUUAUGUUGUUGAUUCAUCAACAAGAAACCUGAUACUCAAAAACUCACACUUAGCGUGAGAAGAAGGAAUUGCUGCUCAAGCUGCUAGAAUGGAUGACGGGUCAAGGUUAUGUUGUUGAUUCAUCAACAAGAAACCUGAUACUCAAAAACUCACACUUAUUCGGACGGCAACUCAUUGCUGAUAUACUGUCCAAGCAACAUAUGAAGUCAAAAUCGUCAAGAACUCUGAAAGAAUGAGCAAUUUGAUAUUAAUUAAUGCUGGAGUUCUAGAUAAAGAAA
Molecule: long non-coding RNA, 369 nt
Filed under: Citrus sinensis (sweet orange)
Lineage: Eukaryota; Viridiplantae; Streptophyta; Magnoliopsida; Sapindales; Rutaceae
Description: long non-coding RNA (CSIN_LNC001088)
Source: RNAcentral